GAACCUUACCUGGGCUCGAAAUGUACAGGAAUCCGGUGGAAACAUCGGCGCCCCGCAAGGGGCCUGUAUAUAGGUGCUGCAUGGCUGUCGUCAGCUCGUGUCGUGAGAUGUUGGGUUAAGUCCCGCAACGAGCGCAACCCUUAUUACCAGUUGCUACCAUUUAGUUGAGCACUCUGGUGAGACUGCCUCGGAUAACGGGGAGGAAGGCGGGGAUGACGUCAAGUCCUCAUGGCCUUUAUGUCCAGGGCUACACACGUGCUACAAUGGCCGGUACAAACCGUCGCAAACCCGUGAGGGGGAGCUAAUCGGAAAAAGCCGGCCUCAGUUCGGAUUGGAGUCUGCAACUCGACUCCAUGAAGCUGGAAUCGCUAGUAAUCGCAGAUCAGAACGCUGCGGUGAAUACGUUCCCGGGCCUUGUCACACCGA
RNAcentral lists this ribosomal RNA (426 nucleotides) under uncultured soil bacterium. RNAcentral describes it as "bacterial SSU rRNA". It matches the Rfam family "Bacterial small subunit ribosomal RNA", at positions 966 to 1393 of the family's 1533-position model. The record is from RNAcentral.